RNAcentral lists this long non-coding RNA (260 nucleotides) under Lathyrus oleraceus (garden pea). RNAcentral's name for it is "Pisum sativum (pea) long non-coding RNA (PSAT_LNC024774)". Lineage: Eukaryota; Viridiplantae; Streptophyta; Magnoliopsida; Fabales; Fabaceae. The record is from RNAcentral.
CUUUAGGGGGAACCCAAGCUGACGACGUGCUAAUAUAGGGUUGUAGCUAAUCCCACCACAUGUACCAAGAAGAGGCACAUUGGAGAAUUCACCACAAGAAUCAAUGAUCUGGACACCAUCAUAUGCACGAUCAUACCAAGAGAUAUCAUCAUUAGUGAGAGACAUGAGUCUCGUAGACCACCGUAGACAUCCCUUGUUUUCCUUGAAAGCGACCGUCUGAGGUAAGUGAGAAAUAAACCACUUAUACAACAGAGGCAAAC